CAGCAGCCGCGGGAAUACGAAGGGGGCUAGCGUUGUUCGGAUUUACUGGGCGUAAAGCGCACGUAGGCGGCACGAUUAGUCAGGCGUGAAAUUCCUGGGCUUAACCUGGGGGCUGCGUUUGAUACGUAUGGGCUAGAGUGGGGAAGAGGGUUGUGGAAUUCCCAGAGUAGAGGUGAAAUUCGUAGAUAUUAGGAAGAACACCGGUGGCGAAGGCGGCAACCUGGUCCUUGACUGACGCUGAGGCGCGAAAGCGUGGGGAGCAAACAGGAUUAGAUACCCCCGUAGUCCCUGUCUCUUAUAC
RNAcentral lists this ribosomal RNA (301 nucleotides) under uncultured bacterium. RNAcentral describes it as "partial 16S ribosomal RNA". It matches the Rfam family "Bacterial small subunit ribosomal RNA", at positions 509 to 807 of the family's 1533-position model. The record is from RNAcentral.